RNAcentral lists this ribosomal RNA (445 nucleotides) under uncultured bacterium. RNAcentral describes it as "partial 16S ribosomal RNA". It matches the Rfam family "Bacterial small subunit ribosomal RNA", at positions 354 to 796 of the family's 1533-position model. The record is from RNAcentral.
GUAGGGAAUAUUGGGCAAUGGAUGCAAGUCUGACCCAGCCAUCCCGCGUGCCGGAAGAAGGCCCUCAGGGUUGUAAACGGCUUUUGACGGUGAAGAAUCGACAGGAUGCGUCCUGUUUUGACGGUAGCCGUUGAAUAAGCACCGGCUAACUCCGUGCCAGCAGCCGCGGUAAUACGGAGGGUGCGAGCGUUGUCCGGAUUUAGUGGGUUUAAAGGGUGCGUAGGCUGGAAGGUCAGUCAGCGGUGAAAAGCUAUCGCUUAACGAUAGUCUUGCCGCAGAUACUUCCUUUCUUGGAUGAGGAGGAGGCCACUGGAACGGAUGGUGUAGCGGUGAAAUGCAUAGAUAUCAUCCAGAACACCGAUUGCGAAGGCAGGUGGCUGUACCUUAAUCGACGCUGAUGCACGAAAGCAUGGGGAGCAAACAGGAUUAGAAACCCGUGUAGUCC